UCUCCGUAGGUGAACCUGCGGAGGGAUCAUUACUGAGUGAGGGCCUUCGGGCUCGACCUCCAACCCUUUGUGAACACAACUUGUUGCUUCGGGGGCGACCCUGCCGUUUCGACGGCGAGCGCCCCCGGAGGUCUCCCAACACUGCAUCGUUGCGUCGGAGUUUAACACAAAUUAAACAAAACUUUCAACAACGGAUCUCUGGGUGCUGGCAUCGAUGAAGAACGCAGC
RNAcentral lists this unclassified non-coding RNA (228 nucleotides) under uncultured fungus. Its description in RNAcentral is "sequence contains ITS1, 5.8S rRNA gene". The stretch from base 180 to 228 matches the Rfam family "5.8S ribosomal RNA", at positions 1 to 49 of the family's 154-position model. The record is from RNAcentral. Lineage: Eukaryota; Fungi.